AGGAAUAUUGGUCAAUGGGCGCAGGCCUGAACCAGCCAAGUAGCGUGAAGGAUGACUGCCCUAUGGGUUGUAAACUUCUUUUAUAAAGGAAUAAAGUCGGGUAUGUAUACCCGUUUGCAUGUACUUUAUGAAUAAGGAUCGGCUAACUCCGUGCCAGCAGCCGCGGUAAUACGGAGGAUCCGAGCGUUAUCCGGAUUUAUUGGGUUUAAAGGGAGCGUAGAUGGAUGUUUAAGUCAGUUGUGAAAGUUUGCGGCUCAACCGUAAAAUUGCAGUUGAUACUGGAUAUCUUGAGUGCAGUUGAGGCAGGCGGAAUUCGUGGUGUAGCGGUGAAAUGCUUAGAUAUCACGAAGAACUCCGAUUGCGAAGGCAGCCUGCUAAGCUGCAACUGACAUUGAGGCUCGAAAGUGUGGGUAUCAAACAGGAUUAGAUACCCUGGUAGUCCACACGGUAAACGAUGAAUACUCGCUGUUUGCGAUAUACUGCAAGCGGCCAAGCGAAAGCGUUAAGUAUUCCACCUGGGGAGUACGCCGGCAACGGUGAAACUCAAAGGAAUUGACGGGGGCCCGCACAAGCGGAGGAACAUGUGGUUUAAUCCGAUGAUACGCGAGGAACCUUACCCGGGCUUAAAUUGCAGAUGAAUUACGGUGAAAGCCGUAAGCCGCAAGGCAUCUGUGAAGGUGCUGCAUGGUUGUCGUCAGCUCGUGCCGUGAGGUGUCGGCUUAAGUGCCAUAACGAGCGCAACCCUUGUUGUCAGUUACUAACAGGUUCCGCUGAGGACUCUGACAAGACUGCCAUCGUAAGAUGUGAGGAAGGUGGGGAUGACGUCAAAUCAGCACGGCCCUUACGUCCGGGGCUACACACGUGUUACAAUGGGGGGUACAGAGGGCCGCUACCACGCGAGUGGAUGCCAAUCCCCAAAACCUCUCUCAGUUCGGACUGGAGCCUGCAACCCGACUCCACGAAGCUGGAUUCGCUAGUAAUCGCGCAUCAGCCACGGCGCGGUGAAUACGUUCCCG
RNAcentral lists this ribosomal RNA (1016 nucleotides) under uncultured bacterium. Its description in RNAcentral is "bacterial SSU rRNA". It matches the Rfam family "Bacterial small subunit ribosomal RNA", at positions 357 to 1376 of the family's 1533-position model. The record is from RNAcentral.